GUGCUUGCUCUGGCAGCACACAUACUAAAAAAUUGGAACGAUACAGAGAUUAGCAUAGCCCCUGCGCAAGGAUAACAUGCAAAUUUGUGAAGCGUUUCAUAGGUUU
Molecule: small nuclear RNA, 106 nt
Organism: Alexandromys fortis (reed vole)
Lineage: Eukaryota; Metazoa; Chordata; Mammalia; Rodentia; Cricetidae
Source: RefSeq, a predicted model, not a curated record